Non-coding RNA from Apaloderma vittatum (bar-tailed trogon), 72 nucleotides. The record is from Rfam. NCBI's taxonomy places the organism in Eukaryota, Metazoa, Chordata, Aves, Trogoniformes, Trogonidae.
GGCCGGUUAGCUCAGUCAGUUGAGCGUGGCGCUGACAACGUCAAGGUCGUGGGUGCAAUUUCCGUUCGGUCC